GAUCGGUGGAGAGAAUGAUUGCUAUCCUGACUGAAAACUAUGGAGGCAAAUGGCCACUCUGGAUAUCUCCUCAGCAAGUGAUGGUAAUACCAGUUGGACCAACGUGUGAUGAAUAUGCACAAAAGGUGAAGCAACAGUUCCAUGAUGCUGGCUUAAUGGCGGAUGUUGAUGUGGACCCUGGUUGUACUCUGAAUAAGAAGAUCAGAAAUGCUCAGCUUGCCCAGUACAAUU
Molecule: long non-coding RNA, 231 nt
Organism: Protobothrops mucrosquamatus (brown spotted pit viper)
Lineage: Eukaryota; Metazoa; Chordata; Lepidosauria; Squamata; Viperidae
Exons: 3
Source: RefSeq, a predicted model, not a curated record